UACGUAGGGUGCAAGCGUUAAUCGGAAUUACUGGGCGUAAAGCGUGCGCAGGCGGUUUUGUAAGUCUGUCGUGAAAGCCCCGGGCUCAACCUGGGAAUUGCGAUGGAGACUGCAAGGCUUGAAUCUGGCAGAGGGGGGUAGAAUUCCACGUGUAGCAGUGAAAUGCGUAGAGAUGUGGAGGAACACCGAUGGCGAAGGCAGCCCCCUGGGUCAAGAUUGACGCUCAUGCACGAAAGCGUGGGGAGCAAAC
RNAcentral lists this ribosomal RNA (250 nucleotides) under uncultured bacterium. Its description in RNAcentral is "partial 16S ribosomal RNA". It matches the Rfam family "Bacterial small subunit ribosomal RNA", at positions 524 to 773 of the family's 1533-position model. RNAcentral also lists the same sequence under 1 other name. The record is from RNAcentral.